CAUUAAACUGAGAAGAACCACUGAGGAAAGCAUGCCACAGUCUUUCCCAAAAUCCCUGUGUCUUAAGGAACAACCAAGAAGUUAACUGGUCAGGGAAAAGAUUUCUUUUGGAACACAGGAGCCAUCGCUGUGUGCGGAAAUCCAUGACCUGGCCAUGACUUCUACAACCCGGAGGACUUGCCUGGCAUUACCGAAAAGCACAGGGGAAAGAUUCUGUGGCAGGUGCCGCAUUUCAUCCAGCUCACUCCGUGCUAGUUCCUAAGACAUCUUAAUUCUUACACAUAUGCAUAAUCGUGAUAUUUUGCCAUGAAUAACAAUAUAUUUCACAAUUAUCAACCAUUUUAAUUUUUAGCUUUCUAACCUCGGACUACUAUAAUAAAAAGAAAUAAUAAAUCCAAAAGUAGUAGUGGAGAAUGAUGGGAGUUGUGAUCCAUACCUCCGUGUGCAUAAUGGUUGUACCUGCUCCAGGAAGGCGCUGGAUCCUCCCAACUCCAUGGGCUGUUCCAGCCACCGUGUCAACAUGCCUUGGUCCAUAGCUCUGGAAGGCACACACCAAGCAGGACCAGUGAACAGAAGAUGAGAAGGGAAGAGAUUAGGACACAAACAACAGACAGAAGGUGACCACAGGAGGACACAGUGAGAAGCUGGCCAUCUGCAAGCCAAGGAGAGAGACCUCAGGAGAAACCAAACCUGCCAGCACCUUAAUCUUAGACUUCUAGCCCUCAGAACGGUGAGGAAAUAAAUCUCUGUUGUUCAUGCCAAAUGUUCCUCACCCCCCAAGAAGGAAACCCUGUACGCAUCAAGCAGUCAUUCCUCAUUCUCCUCUCCCCCAGCCCCUGGAGACCUUUCAUCUGCUUUCUGUCUCUAUAGAUUUGCCUGUACUAGACAUUUCAUAUGACUGGAAGCAUAUAAUAUGUGGUCUUUUGUGUUUGACUUGUUUUACUUAGUCUAAUGUUUUCAAGGUUCGCCAUGUUGUAACAUGUACACUUUACACAAUUUUAAGCCUAAUAUUCUUUAAGCCAUAUAUUCAAAAUAAACAGCUUACAAAAAUGAU
RNAcentral lists this long non-coding RNA (1054 nucleotides) under Homo sapiens (human). RNAcentral's name for it is "HSALNT0168787". The record is from RNAcentral. Lineage: Eukaryota; Metazoa; Chordata; Mammalia; Primates; Hominidae.